This is a long non-coding RNA of Calidris pugnax (ruff), 638 nucleotides long. RefSeq lists it as uncharacterized. The transcript is spliced from 4 exons. The record is from RefSeq and is a predicted model, not a curated record. Lineage: Eukaryota; Metazoa; Chordata; Aves; Charadriiformes; Scolopacidae.
GAGCAUGAAAAGUGAGUGUAGCCGGAUGGAGACACCCUCCGGUUCUUCUGGGCUUUUCUGGAAACAGCCUGGAGAGGGUACAGCAGAGGGUACCAAGAUGAUGAGGGGCCUGGAGCAUCUCCCUUACAAGGAGCACAAAAAGCAUCGCUCAUUGCCGAGCAGAACCUUCCUUCACCCUCAGCCCUGCUCUUCCUCCACAGUGGGGUGGUCUCUCCUCUCUUUUCCAGCUCCGUUCAGGACAGGUGAAGACCAUCACACAGUGCAAGCUCCCUCUCUGCCAGCUCAGAGCACACAGGAGGAGCAAAAAUCCCCCCCAGGUUUGUAGGAUUUAAGUCUUCAGAGUGCACAUGCUCAGGCUUUAUUCUAAGCUUUUCAGGGAAGCAAAGAAGACAUGAGAUACCCCCUGUAAUCAUCUGCCUCUGGGAGCUGAUACCAGGUAUCAGAAGAGGUGGUGAAAUCACGGUGUUCAGAGCUGCCUUAUCCAGCUGUGUGUUGCUGGCUAGCCAGCUCCAGCUUGCAGUGUCUAUGAUGGUGUUUCUUGUCUGGUUUCUGCACGGUUGGGAUGAAGAUGAGCCUGAGCAUCGGGCUUGGGAUGUCUGAAAAUCUGAUUCAGUUCCGGGUCUGCCCUCAGCAGUUCC